This 301-nucleotide ribosomal RNA is filed under the name uncultured bacterium. RNAcentral's name for it is "partial 16S ribosomal RNA". It matches the Rfam family "Bacterial small subunit ribosomal RNA", at positions 510 to 808 of the family's 1533-position model. The record is from RNAcentral.
AGCAGCCGCGGUAAUACAGAGGGUGCGAGCGUUAAUCGGAUUUACUGGGCGUAAAGCGUGCGUAGGCUGCUUCUUAAGUCGGAUGUGAAAUCCCUGAGCUUAACUUAGGAAUUGCAUUCGAUACUGGGAAGCUAGAGUAUGGGAGAGGAUGGUAGAAUUCCAGGUGUAGCGGUGAAAUGCGUAGAGAUCUGGAGGAAUACCGAUGGCGAAGGCAGCCAUCUGGCCUAAUACUGACGCUGAGGUACGAAAGCAUGGGGAGCAAACAGGAUUAGAUACCCGCGUAGUCCCUGUCUCUUAUACA